GUGCUUGCUUCUGCAGCACAUAGACUAAAUUUGGAAUGAUACAGAAAAGAUUAGCAUGGCCUCUGCUCAAGGGUGAUAUGCAAAUUCGUGCAGCUUUCCAUAUUUUU
This is a small nuclear RNA of Ochotona princeps (American pika), 107 nucleotides long. NCBI's taxonomy places the organism in Eukaryota, Metazoa, Chordata, Mammalia, Lagomorpha, Ochotonidae. The record is from Ensembl.